GGAUGCAAGGGCGAUCUGGCUGUGAUGUCUGUCAUCCCACUGGCUGCUAGGGUUGAUUCAGCUAAUCUGGCUGGCUAAACAGUUGCCCCUUCCUCCUUCCCCACUCCAUGUGUGUCUCCUCCCAAAACUACACACUCGGUAGAAGAGGACAACCUUCCAGAUAGAAGGGAUGCACCAUUAUUUGGCUAAUGAUUAAGAAACAUAUCGGCAGCCCACCUAGGGCUUAACAUUCUUAACUAAAGUUGCAAGCAGUCUGAUUCUGGGCAACUCACAUGCAAUUUUGCACCUAAAAGAGACAUCUUGCUU
Molecule: small nuclear RNA, 306 nt
Filed under: Pogona vitticeps (central bearded dragon)
Lineage: Eukaryota; Metazoa; Chordata; Lepidosauria; Squamata; Agamidae
Description: 7SK RNA (ENSPVIG00000005302.1)
Rfam family: 7SK RNA
About the family: 7SK was discovered as an abundant small nuclear RNA in the mid-70s but a possible function has only recently been suggested. Two independent studies have found that 7SK RNA binds the CDK9/cyclin T complex (known as elongation factor P-TEFb). P-TEFb activates transcription by phosphorylating the C-terminal domain of RNA polymerase II.
Source: Rfam by way of RNAcentral